Molecule: ribosomal RNA, 520 nt
Filed under: Gemmatimonadaceae bacterium
Lineage: Bacteria; Pseudomonadati; Gemmatimonadota; Gemmatimonadia; Gemmatimonadales; Gemmatimonadaceae
Description: partial 23S ribosomal RNA
Rfam family: Bacterial large subunit ribosomal RNA
Source: RNAcentral
UGGUCAAGCGAAGGAAGGCAUGUGGGGGAUGCCUGGGCACACGGAGGCGAGGAAGGCCGUGGUAAGCUGCGAGAAGCUCGGGGGAGUGGCACACACGCGGUGAUCCCGAGAUGGCCGAAUGGGGCAACCCGGCUGGCGGCGACGCCAGUCAUCACUUCUUCGGAAGUGAAGCGAACCCAGGGAACUGAAACAUCUCAGUACCUGGAGGAAGAGAAAUCAACCGAGAUGUCCGGAGUAGCGGCGAGCGAAACGGACCCAAGCCCAAACCGUGCUCCUUGUGGGUGCGGGGUUGUAGGACCUGCGGACGCGGCACAGCAGGCUACGUGAACUCCCCUGGAACGGGGGGCCAGAGACGGUGAGAGCCCGGUAGCGGAAAGCGAGCCUGUGUCGUAGCAGUGUUCCUGAGUAGCGCCCGGAACGAGAAACCGGGCGCGAAGCUGGGGGGACCACCCUCCAAGGCUAAAGACUCCCGUGUGACCGAUAGUGGACGAGUACCGUGAGGGACAGGUGAAAAGCACCC